GCCGGGGUGGCGGAAUCGGCAGACGCUACGGACUUAAAAUCCGUUGGGCUUCAAACGCCCGUGAGGGUUCAAGUCCCUCUCCCGGCACCA
Molecule: transfer RNA, 90 nt
Filed under: Bacillota bacterium
Lineage: Bacteria; Bacillati; Bacillota
Description: Firmicutes bacterium (anaerobic digester metagenome) tRNA-Leu
Rfam family: tRNA
About the family: Transfer RNA (tRNA) molecules are approximately 80 nucleotides in length.
Source: RNAcentral